UACGGAGGAUGCGAGCGUUAUCCGGAUUUAUUGGGUUUAAAGGGUGCGUAGGCGGGCUUUUAAGUCAGCGGUAAAAAUUCGGGGCUCAACCCCGUCCGGCCGUUGAAACCGGGGGUCUUGAGUGGGCGAGAAGAAGGCGGAAUGCGUGGUGUAGCGGUGAAAUGCAUAGAUAUCACGCAGAACCCCGAUUGCGAAGGCAGCCUUCCGGCGCCCUACUGACGCUGAGGCACGAAAGUGCGGGGAUCGAACAGG
Molecule: ribosomal RNA, 252 nt
Filed under: uncultured bacterium
Lineage: Bacteria
Description: partial 16S ribosomal RNA
Rfam family: Bacterial small subunit ribosomal RNA
Source: RNAcentral